CUAUGCGCCUUGCCAGCCCGCUCAGGUGUGCCAGCAGCCGCGGUAAUACGUAGGGGGCAAGCGUUAUCCGGAAUUACUGGGUGUAAAGGGUGAGUAGGCGGCAUGGUAAGCCAGAUGUGAAAGCCUUGGGCUUAACCCGAGGAUUGCAUUUGGAACUAUCAAGCUAGAGUACAGGAGAGGAAAGCGGAAUUCCUAGUGUAGCGGUGAAAUGCGUAGAUAUUAGGAAGAACACCAGUGGCGAAGGCGGCUUUCUGGACUGAAACUGACGCUGAGGCACGAAAGCGUGGGGAGCGAACAGG
This 299-nucleotide ribosomal RNA is filed under the name uncultured bacterium. RNAcentral describes it as "partial 16S ribosomal RNA". It matches the Rfam family "Bacterial small subunit ribosomal RNA", at positions 475 to 776 of the family's 1533-position model. The record is from RNAcentral.